UUGAACGCUGGCGGCAUGCCUUACACAUGCAAGUCGAACGGUAGAGGGGCAACCCUUGAGAGUGGCGAACGGGUGAGUAAUAUAUCGGAACGUGCCCAGUCGUGGGGGAUAACGCAGCGAAAGCUGCGCUAAUACCGCAUACGAUCUAUGGAUGAAAGCGGGGGAUCGCAAAGACCUCGCGCGAUUGGAGCGGCCGAUAUCAGAUUAGGUAGUUGGUGGGGUAAAAGCCCCACCAAGCCGACGAU
RNAcentral lists this ribosomal RNA (245 nucleotides) under uncultured bacterium. Its description in RNAcentral is "partial 16S ribosomal RNA". It matches the Rfam family "Bacterial small subunit ribosomal RNA", at positions 30 to 280 of the family's 1533-position model. The record is from RNAcentral.